UACGUAGGGGGCAAGCGUUGUCCGGAUUUAUUGGGCGUAAAGAGCGUGUAGGCGGCCAGGUAGGUCCGUUGUGAAAACUCGAGGCUCAACCUCGAGACGCCGAUGGAAACCAUCUGGCUAGAGUCCGGAAGAGGAGAGUGGAAUUCCCGGUGUAGCGGUGAAAUGCGCAGAUAUCGGGAGGAACACCCGUGGCUAAGGCGGCUCUCUAGUACGGUACUGACGCUGAGACGCGAACGCGUGGGGAGCGAACAGG
This 253-nucleotide ribosomal RNA is filed under the name uncultured bacterium. RNAcentral's name for it is "partial 16S ribosomal RNA". It matches the Rfam family "Bacterial small subunit ribosomal RNA", at positions 524 to 776 of the family's 1533-position model. The record is from RNAcentral.